RNAcentral lists this long non-coding RNA (1516 nucleotides) under Olea europaea (common olive). RNAcentral describes it as "long non-coding RNA (OEUR_LNC007440)". Lineage: Eukaryota; Viridiplantae; Streptophyta; Magnoliopsida; Lamiales; Oleaceae. The record is from RNAcentral.
UUCNGGAGUGUAGGGUUGUGAUGUAGCCUAUUGAGGUCACAGUUCUCUAGCAUCGGUUGAGUUUCAAAUCAAAUCAUAAAACCCAACAACCAAUAUACAUUUAUUAAUUUGUAAACUUCCGAGCAAGUGACGAAUUUGAUGUUUCUAUGGGCAAUUUUGCCCAAAUAGUGCAAAAGCGAGCUAUUAUCUUCUUUCUCUGCUUCCUCCUCCUCCCCUCCAUAUAAUCCUCAAAUCUUAAUUCUCUUAUGCUGUUCAUUUUACUACAUUAUCUUUGAUCCAUUUAAACCCUAUGUAACAAUGCUCAACCAUCACCAACAAAAAGUUUGAUGUAUGUACACUUGGUGCAUGUUGGGUACACAACACUUGAUAGGACUUAAUAGUAUAAUAAACAAGAUUUUAGCUUCUUUUUCUUAGUACCAUCGAGAACUAUCCAACCAUUUCUACCAAUCAUGCAGUCCGAGUUUAUCUGUUGUGCUCAUAAAUUCUCGUUGUCUGCAAUGCUUCAUAUGUACAAUUGAUAGCCUAUGAAUUUUCAUGAUUGUAAGCAGUGGUGAAUCCAGGAUUUUAAUUGAGCACGGGCGGCCGUUAACUGUCGACAGUCGCAAUAAUAAUCAAUGCCGUGAGUUGAAAUUACUUAGCCCCCAUUUGGCCCCCAUUAUUUGGAUUUAUAAUGGGGGAAUAGUGUUUUUGUUUUUUUGUUUUUUUUUUGUUGUAAAAGAAUGAAAAUUCUUCUAUUUACAUGUAAUAGUAUUUUAUUGAAGAUUGCGUAGUUGAAAAUAGAAAAGAGAAAAUUUUAAAUUAAAUUGAUAAGUUUUGAAGGGGGCCAAACUGGGGCUUAUAUCGCAGUUCGAAUUAUAACUGUGAGUGUACGUUAUCUAAUCCAAUGUAAUAAUGCUUAUCGAGUAAAAAUUUGAAGUGUGAAAAAUGGUCCAAUUAUUUACUUUCUUGGUUCGAUUUGCCAAUAAUUUCAGUUUAAUAGAAAAAAAAAAGUGAAUAUUUUAAUAAUACCACUGUAAGGUCGAAGUUUAUUUUUCUAAAAAUGGUGGGUGUAUAUCUUUACUUGAUAAAAGAAUAUAUAAAUUUUGUUGCUUGUAUUGUCAACAACCAUCAACUGCCUUAGUGGUCAAAUUGUUCAUGAUUCCAACGGAGAUCAUAGGUUCAAAUCUUCCAUUUGCACCAAUUUUAAUGCCUAUUUGCUCCAAAAUGGUGAAAAAUUUUAAACUAAAAUAAUUUCAAAAGGGAUUGCAAGAGUUGAGAAUCGAACCCGAGACAUCCUUACAUUUCUAUGGUGUUCUAACCAAUUGAGCAACAGCGACUUUGUGUGAAUCAAAGGAAAUCACAGAAAUAUAUCUAAAACAACUUGACAGCUAAAAAAAUUAGGAAAAAUGGCAGCCGAGGUACCAAAUCUUUCGUUUAUUAGCAAACUUUGCCCAAACCUUUAGUUUGUGCCAUCGGAGGUAAUAAACCUUCAAAAAAUGCGCACCUGGAGUUCAAAUUGACAGAAAUUAUUAGUUUG